GGGGCUGUAGCUCAGCUGGGAGAGCGCCAGCUUUGCAAGCUGGAUGUCGUCGGUUCGAUCCCGAUCAGCUCCAC
RNAcentral lists this transfer RNA (74 nucleotides) under Myxococcus xanthus. RNAcentral's name for it is "tRNA-Ala". It matches the Rfam family "tRNA". Rfam says of the family: Transfer RNA (tRNA) molecules are approximately 80 nucleotides in length. Their secondary structure includes four short double-helical elements and three loops (D, anti-codon, and T loops). Lineage: Bacteria; Pseudomonadati; Myxococcota; Myxococcia; Myxococcales; Myxococcaceae. RNAcentral also lists the same sequence under 1 other name. The record is from RNAcentral.